Molecule: ribosomal RNA, 253 nt
Filed under: uncultured microorganism
Description: partial 16S ribosomal RNA
Rfam family: Bacterial small subunit ribosomal RNA
Source: RNAcentral
UACGUAGGGUGCGAGCGUUAAUCGGAUUUACUGGGCGUAAAGAGCGUGUAGGCGGGCUGUUAAGUCAGGUGUGAAAGACCGCAGCUCAACUGCGGGGUGGCACUUGAUACUGGCAGUCUUGAGGGCAGGAGAGGGAAGUGGAAUUCCUGGUGUAGCGGUGAAAUGCGUAGAUAUCAGGAGGAACACCAGUGGCGAAGGCGGCUUCCUGGACUGACCCUGACGCUGAGACGCGAAAGCGUGGGGAGCAAACAGG